CAAUCCAAAGAAAACCAGCAUAGUUUGUGUCAUAAUCAGAAAAAAGGAAACAAAUAUGAUACUACAAGGGAUAUUAUUGAACUUAAAAAGUUGAGAGACCUUGUACAACGCAGAUUGUUUUACAUCCAGAAUCCGAAGAACUGUAAAGCAGCGAAAAAGAUAAUUUGUGAACCCAAUAAAGCCGGUUUUGGAAGUACAAUACACCAGCUGACAUUUUGUUUGAUUGCGGCAUAUGCUACUGAAAGAACACUCAUAAUCAGGUCAAAAGGGUGGAUUUAUGCAAGAAAGGGUUGGGAAACUGCAUUCCUUCCAGUCAGCAGUAAUUGCACAUCUGUAUUGAACAAUACAGUAACAAAAACUAAAACAUUAAGGAAUGUAUUUGACAAACAGGCAAUUUCCUUACCCGGAAUGGCAGGUUUCGAAAUGCCGGACUACAUGCCCUUCGCAAUUCCAGCAGACUUAGCUGACAGACUAGAAGCAGUUCAUAUUAACCCGGAAGUAUGGUGGAUCGGACAGUUUGUGGAGUAUCUGAUUAGACCGAAUAACGAUUUAAAGUUGCAUUUACGCGAACAACAGAACAAGCUAGUUUUUAGACGGCCUUUAAUAGGGUUUGUUUAUUUGGUUUAAACCGUAACACAUUCAUGCUUCUAGGUUUUAAUUAAUGAAUGCAAAUGCAAAGGAAUGUCACACUCAAAUAUAUAACAUGAUACUGAUAUUGUUUUCUUUGAAAACAAUCAUAUCGGUAGGAUAUGACAAAAAAAGCAAGCGAAAAUAUUAUAAUGUUUGUUACACUGCCUGUCCAUCUGUCGACCGUUUGAUGUCAUCAGGUAUUGCUUAAUCGUUAUUUCAUUUGUAUCUCGGCAUUUAUUUCUUGCAAUUGAUUGAGAAAUGAUAAUGUAAUUGUUUUGCCACUUGCAGCACAAUACUAUCAUUGAAAUUUUGACGAUUAUUUGCUCUACCAUUCAAACCACUAUCUUAUUUUAAGGUUGCAUAUUAGACGAACAGACAAGUUAAUGGAUACAAGAUAUUUCAAUCUGAGUGAAUACAUGGAUGUUGUAGAUCAAUGGUUUAAAAAGCACUUGCACAACAAUACGCAAACACGAUACAUCUUUAUUGCUACUGAUAGUCCGAGUGUUUUACAAGAAGCAAUGCGCACGUACCAAAACUAUACUUUUGUUUAUCACAAAAAGGCGACUACUGACAAAUACUCAUUAUCAGCACUGAAAGACAUUAUUUCGGACAUACACACACUAAGAAUGUGCGAUUUUGUAGCAUGCACAAUGUCUUCUAACAUUUGCCGACUCGUAAAUGAACUUAAAGGAUCAAUUGACGGAUGUGCAGCUUAUAGACUUGUCUCCUUAGACAUGGACUAUUUCUUUCACGCUAUUGAGAUGAGAAGGAAAAAGAGGACUCCCCUACAGAACAUAAUAGCUUCACAUCAUGGAUUAAAACCUAUCAAAGAUAAAACAGAUUAUCCGAAAAGAAUUUUACUUACAACUGACAGAAAUAAAUCGCGAGUUGUUAUGCCGAUUUAUCCCGAACUUACAGACACACCAGGACAGUGAUAAAUAAACAUAUUGCUAUUUCUCUCAGUUUUAUUGUAUUUAAAUUGUGUUUUAUAUUAGAAAAACACACACAAUUACACUCGUACAUUUCUUUAAGAUAGGGAACAACAAAUACAACAAAAUUGCGUUAGAUCUCUAUUUAAAAAUGAGAAAAACGUAUUAAAAAGAAUUUCUAAGGAAACAUACAAGGCUAAUAAAUUUGGUAUUGGUUCAAAGAUAUGCAAUGACGACAGAUGAAAUUGUAAAAACUAACAAAAUUCAUUAGGAUACACACAAAUAAGAAAAAAAAAACAUAAUCAUAAAAAUAUAAUCAGAAGUUGUAACCUUUCAUCAGAGUAAAAUGAUUAAGUUUCAUUGGGAGAACUAAAAACUCUAUUGAAGGUAUAUAAUUUUACAUUAUUAGCCUAAUAUAUUUUAUCUUGACAACCAAAAUAUCAAUCUCAAUAAAAUUCAGAGUACAUUAUUUCAAACAUUCCCAUUGACAUUUCAAUCUAUUUUAAUAGUUUUGGAACAAAUUUGAGACAUAUUUAAGAUUCAAUUAUGAAUACACAUGCUGAUGAAAAAAAAAACGGUAGUAGUUUUUAUUCGUUUCCGUCAAACUUAAACCAAGAAAUAAAAAGCAAGUUCCUGUACAAACUUAAUAAAUCAAGUACUGGCACAAGUUAGGAUUCGUAGAAACUAAACAUUUGGACAAAGUGUAAUCACUCAGAAGCAUUUAUCACAAGAACAUUACAUGUUCAUGGGAAUUGCAGGCUCGGAUUGAUUGAGUAUGUGCAUGCGGAGUAAUGAACAAGUAACCUUGAGUGUGAAACACAAUGAAUUUUAAUUCUUUGCAUAUAAGAGCUGUCUGUACUUGAAUUAAAAUAAAUAAUUAUGUAAGAAUAAAACAAUAACAGAAUAAGAAUAAAAUAGAAAUGUAACCAUAGGACACAGAUGUUCUAAUUAACUUUUUGACUCUAGCUCGCAAGGUAAAAAUUGUAAAUUCCGAAUAAAUCUUUACGGAAACCCCAAGGUGCACAACACUUACAUGCUGAUCAACAUUGACGAAAGUUUCUUGUUUCUAGCUUCAGAACUUGUUGAUCUACAAGCCACACUAGUUGAAAUUACAAAUUUUGACUAAGUAAGAGGUCAUACCUUAAGCAAUCCCUAAUAGCUUUACGUGCAUAAUUUCACAUAAUGAUGCUGAUCAAAAUUUCUGUAUAGUUUUUGUACUAUGAUAGUACGAGAAGAAAACGAUAUAAAGUGAUUUAAGAUGUCCGAUAAAAAAGUAAUUUAGAAACUAGUUGUGUUUUUUCUUCUCCGAAACACGAUCGGGAAUGCAUCGAUUGCAAAGGUAAAAGUAAUUAGUUACCCGGUAAUGAUCAAGUUUGAAACAAUUUACCUUAUUCAAUAAUUGAAUAAGUUAUAUUAAUUGUACUUUAAUUAUUAAUUUUAUUUU
This is a long non-coding RNA of Ruditapes philippinarum (Manila clam), 3003 nucleotides long. RefSeq lists it as uncharacterized. NCBI's taxonomy places the organism in Eukaryota, Metazoa, Mollusca, Bivalvia, Venerida, Veneridae. The record is from RefSeq and is a predicted model, not a curated record. The transcript has 6 exons.